AUUUUUGGAUUCGGAGCGAGUGGCGAACUGGUGAGUAACACGUGGGUAACCUGCCCCGAAGCGGGGGAUAACAUUUGGAAACAAGUGCUAAUACCGCAUAAUUAGUUGGAACCGCAUGGUUCCAACUUGAAAGAAGGCUCUGCUAUCACUUUGGGAUGGACCCGCGCCGUAUUAGUUAGUUGGUGAGAUAAAAGCCCACCAAGACGAUGAUACGUAGCCGACCUGAGAGGGUAAUCGGCCACAUUGGGACUGAGACACGGCCCAGACUCCUACGGGAGGCAGCAGUAGGGAAUCUUCCACAAUGGACGAAAGUCUGAUGGAGCAACGCCGCGUGAGUGAUGAAGGUUUUCGGAUCGUAAAACUCUGUUGUUAAAGAAGAACAAGUGUUAGAGUAACUGUUAACACUUUGACGGUAUUUAACCAGAAAGCCACGGCUAACUACGUGCCAGCAGCCGCGGUAAUACGUAGGUGGCAAGCGUUGUCCGGAUUUAUUGGGCGUAAAGCGAGCGCA
RNAcentral lists this ribosomal RNA (511 nucleotides) under Apilactobacillus kunkeei. Its description in RNAcentral is "bacterial SSU rRNA". It matches the Rfam family "Bacterial small subunit ribosomal RNA", at positions 76 to 573 of the family's 1533-position model. Lineage: Bacteria; Bacillati; Bacillota; Bacilli; Lactobacillales; Lactobacillaceae. The record is from RNAcentral.